Molecule: long non-coding RNA, 888 nt
Organism: Acyrthosiphon pisum (pea aphid)
Lineage: Eukaryota; Metazoa; Arthropoda; Insecta; Hemiptera; Aphididae
Exons: 2
Source: RefSeq, a predicted model, not a curated record
CGCUCCAGUAUAGUUAGAGCACUAUAAUAGCAGGUAUGUGCAUCCGCCAUUUUGGUUGCAAAAGAUUUCAGAUAACCCAUUAUCAUAUCUUCAUAAAAUAUUUUGUCAUCAUCUAGUAUUCUAGUCUAUGCUUAAAUGUUUCUUUGGUUCAUACUAUACUUAACUAAAGAUCGUAAAAGUACUGAGCAGUAGGUAACUAAUUUAUAUAUUUGACCAGCAUUAAUAUAUUAUGGCUCAUUUGUCUACAUCUGACGAUUCAAUGCAGAUUAAAGAAAAUAAAAUCAUUGCUGCAGAUGACAAUAUAUCACCCAAGAAUGUAUUGGAUAAUGAUCCUAAAAAGAAAAACAAUCAUGACUGCAAUAAUUUCAAACAGAAAGCUGAGCAAGAAAUAGCUAAUUUAAAAUUAGAAAUUGAAAAGCUGAAUUUUGGAAAAAACAAUAUGGAUCUUUUACUAAACUAUUUCAAUAAUCAAAAGGUGUGAAGUUGGGUGACCAAAGCUAGAUUACUGUUUUUUUUGGAUAGUAAAGUUAUGCAAAUUACAAAUUACUGUAACUAAAUUACUCUUGCAGUAAUUCUGUAGUAAUUUCAUUAUAAUUUAUUUAAAUUAACGCAAUUGUAACAAAAGUACUUUUUAAAAGUAUAUCUCUGAAUUAAUUUUUUUGUUCAGACUCAAAUUAUUGUAUUUUAUUUAAAAAAUAACCUAUUGAUAUUUUAAAAUUGUUAUAAUAAUUCAAAUUCUUCAAAUAAUAGUUUUUAUUUAAUAAUGUUAUUUACAUAUUUAAAAUUAAGCAAUUGUAACAAUUUAUUUAUUUUUAAAAAGAAAACAUUCUGUAUGAAAUAAAAAACAAAUAUUAUAUUCUAUAAAAUAAAAACAAUGAAUUGGUUUAA